Molecule: ribosomal RNA, 1170 nt
Filed under: Triticum aestivum (bread wheat)
Lineage: Eukaryota; Viridiplantae; Streptophyta; Magnoliopsida; Poales; Poaceae
Description: partial small subunit ribosomal RNA
Source: RNAcentral
AUGAGUCGCCGACGUUCCUUGCCGGCGAAGGCGCCCCCGCUGGAGGACGAGGACCUCCUCGGUGAGAUCCUCCUCCGCCUCCCUACACAGCCAUCCGCGCUCCCCCGUGCAUCUUCUGUAUGCAAGCGCUGGCGCCGCAUCCUCUCCGACCCCGAGUUCCUCCGCCGCUUCCGCGGGCACCACCAGAAACCUCCUCUGCUCGGCUUCUUCGAGAGAUGUGUUGACUGCAGGCCCUUCUUCCUUCCCAUACUAGACCCGCCUGACCGCAUUCCUGCCGCUCGCUUCUCCUUGUCAAGCAUCAGAAUACCCUACCAUGAGCGAUGGGACUUCCAAGGCUGCCGGCACGGGCUUGCCGUCCUGAUCAACCAGUUUCAGCGCAAGGUUGCCGUGGUGGAUCCCAUCACUGGCCAAGAGCACCGCAUUGCUUUUCCAUUAAUGGGACUCGACAUAGAUAAAAACAGGUAUCACUGCUGGUACGCUGCGAUACUGUGCACCGACGCUGAAGAUGGACAUGUGCACGGAGAUUGCUUCUCGAGCACGUUCAAAUUGGCUUUGAUCUGCAACUGGGACACACAUAUAUUCGCUUGCCUCUACGAAUCGACGUCUCGUGUGUGGGGAGAUACUGUCUAUGCGCAGUCCAUAUAUAGCGUAGAUUUUUCGAGACCAAGCGUCCUAGUUGGGAAUGUGCUUUACUGGUUACUUGGCCGAGGUGGUGUCCUUGCGUUUGACUCUGAAGCGCAGAGUAUUGGUGUGAUUAAGAAACCGGCUGACCCCCAUAUUACUUCGGAGUACUACAUCAUCCAGCUCUUACGGACAAAGGAUAAUGGACUUGGUUGCGCUGUUCUGGCAAAACAUAUCAUCAAGCUAUGGGAGAGGAAAUUGAACAGAGGUGGUGUCCAUGGAUGGGUGUUGCAGCAGAAAACCAUUCAAUUGGAGGAGCACUUUCCACACACAAUGCAAAGUGACAUCACCAGUGUGCUGAUGGUGGGAUAUGAUGAGGACACAAAUGUGAUUGUUCUUUCUACGAUGAUUGGUGUAUUUAUGCUCCAUGUUGAUACGUUGCAAGUCAAAAAUAUUAUGAAAAUGGAUAGCAUAUGCUACAUCUUAUUUUAUCCCUAUAGAAAUUUCUAUACCACAGGGGUGUUUCCUGAGGAGAUGCUGGAGCUGUGA